UCGGAAUCGCUAGUAAUCGCAAAUCAGAAUGUUGCGGUGAAUACGUUCCCGGGCCUUGUACACACCGCCCGUCACACCAUGGGAGUGGGUUGCACCAGAAGUAGAUAGCUUAACCUUCGGGAGGGCGUUUACCACGGUGUGAUUCAUGACUGGGGUGAAGUCGUAACAAGGUAACCCUAGGGGAACCUGGGGUUGGAUCACCUCCUUA
This 208-nucleotide ribosomal RNA is filed under the name Aeromonas dhakensis. RNAcentral describes it as "partial 16S ribosomal RNA". It matches the Rfam family "Bacterial small subunit ribosomal RNA", at positions 1326 to 1533 of the family's 1533-position model. The record is from RNAcentral. Lineage: Bacteria; Pseudomonadati; Pseudomonadota; Gammaproteobacteria; Aeromonadales; Aeromonadaceae.